This 109-nucleotide transfer RNA is filed under the name Perca fluviatilis (European perch). It matches the Rfam family "tRNA". From Rfam's summary of the family: Transfer RNA (tRNA) molecules are approximately 80 nucleotides in length. The record is from Rfam by way of RNAcentral. Lineage: Eukaryota; Metazoa; Chordata; Actinopteri; Perciformes; Percidae.
GUCAGGAUGGCCGAGCGGGUCAACGCCAGACUCAAGGUUAGACACCUUCCUGAGUUAAGGGACUUCUGGUCUCCAAAUGGAGGCGUGGGUUCAAAUCCCACUCCUGACA